Molecule: ribosomal RNA, 484 nt
Filed under: uncultured bacterium
Lineage: Bacteria
Description: partial 16S ribosomal RNA
Rfam family: Bacterial small subunit ribosomal RNA
Source: RNAcentral
AUUGAACGCUGGCGGCAUGCCUAACACAUGCAAGUCGAACGGCAGCGCGGGGGCAACCCUGGCGGCGAGUGGCGGACGGGUGAGGAAUGCAUAGGAAUCUGCCCGGUUGUGAGGGAUAACGUAGGGAAACUUACGCUAAUACCGCAUACGACCUUCGGGUGAAAGUGGGGGACCUUCGGGCCUCACGCGAUCGGAUGAGCCUAUGCCCGAUUAGCUAGUUGGCGGGGUAAGAGCCCACCAAGGCGACGAUCGGUAGCUGGUCUGAGAGGAUGAUCAGCCACACUGGGACUGAGACACGGCCCAGACUCCUACGGGAGGCAGCAGUGGGGAAUAUUGGACAAUGGGCGCAAGCCUGAUCCAGCAAUGCCGCGUGUGUGAAGAAGGCCUUCGGGUUGUAAAGCACUUUUGUUCGGGAAGAAAUCCGUGUGGUUAAUACCCGUACGGGAUGACGGUACCGAAAGAAUAAGCACCGGCUAACUUCGUG